RNAcentral lists this ribosomal RNA (477 nucleotides) under uncultured bacterium. RNAcentral describes it as "bacterial SSU rRNA". It matches the Rfam family "Bacterial small subunit ribosomal RNA", at positions 232 to 721 of the family's 1533-position model. The record is from RNAcentral.
CGCGGCCUAUCAGCUUGUUGGUGAGGUAACGGCUCACCAAGGCGACGACGGGUAGCCGGCCUGAGAGGGCGACCGGCCACACUGGGACUGAGAUACGGCCCAGACUCCUACGGGAGGCAGCAGUGGGGAAUAUUGCACAAUGGGCGAAAGCCUGAUGCAGCAACGCCGCGUGCGGGAUGACGGCCUUCGGGUUGUAAACCGCUUUCAGCAGGGACGAAGCUAACGUGACGGUACCUGCAGAAGAAGCACCGGCUAACUACGUGCCAGCAGCCGCGGUGAUACGUAGGGUGCGAGCGUUGUCCGGAAUUAUUGGGCGUAAAGAGCUUGUAGGCGGUUUGUUGCGUCGGAAGUGAAAACUCAGAGCUUAACUCUGAGCCUGCUUUCGAUACGGGCAGACUUGAGGGAUGUAGGGGAGAACGGAAUUCCUGGUGGAGCGGUGGAAUGCGCAGAUAUCAGGAGGAACACCAGUGGCGAAGG